Molecule: non-coding RNA, 588 nt
Organism: Prunus avium (sweet cherry)
Lineage: Eukaryota; Viridiplantae; Streptophyta; Magnoliopsida; Rosales; Rosaceae
Source: RefSeq, a predicted model, not a curated record
UCAGGAGGCGCUAAACAACAGUUCAAUUUAAGUUCGCGAGCGCGGAGCUUUUCAGAAAACACUCGCUCUCUCAAACACUAUACUAUCUCAAAUUCUCUCACGAAACUUUCACAAAACCCUCGCUCUCUCAACUCUCUCUCACAUCGAUGAAGCACAUCUCCCUCUCACCAUCCACCGAGUUUGCCGAGAUCGCCAUCUCCAUCGCGUCAUUCAGUCCAUCGAGCUCACCGCGUUCAGUCCACCGAACUCGCCUCGUUCGCCAAAAUUUAUUCUCUCCCUCUGAAAACGAACCAAGCUCAAGCACUAAUUUGAAGGGAAAAACUCCAACUUCAGCCCAGAAGAGUGGACAUGCAACUGGCGAUGAUUGGCAAUAGGAGCUUUAUCAAAAAAUUAAACUCAUGAAGGAGAUGUACUUGACUAAACUACAUGAAAUGCAUUAAAAAUAUUGCUACUAAACUUGAGAAGGUAUGUAAUCACUUCUUUUCUUUCCUCAUAUAAUUCGUUGUAUGACGGUAAAUUCGAGUAGUUUCUGUGAAUAAAACAACCAAAUGUUUGUUGUUUGGGAAUUGAAAGACAUGGAUUGAAACA